GAGUGAACGCUGGCGGUAGGCCUAACCCAUGCAAGUCGAACGGCAGCACAGUAAGAGCUUGCUCUUACGGGUGGCGAGUGGCGGACGGGUGAGGAAUACAUCGGAAUCUACUUUUUCGUGGGGGAUAACGUAGGGAAACUUACGCUAAUACCGCAUACGACCUACGGGUGAAAGCAGGGGAUCUUCGGACCUUGCGCGAUUGAAUGAGCCGAUGUCGGAUUAGCUAGUUGGCGGGGUAAAGGCCCACCAAGGCGACGAUCCGUAGCUGGUCUGAGAGGAUGAUCAGCCACACUGGAACUGAGACACGGUCCAGACUCCUACGGGAGGCAGCAGUGGGGAAUAUUGGACAAUGGGCGCAAGCCUGAUCCAGCCAUACCGCGUGGGUGAAGAAGGCCUUCGGGUUGUAAAGCCCUUUUGUUGGGAAAGAAAAGCAGCAGGUUAAUACCCCGCUGUUCUGACGGUACCCAAAGAAUAAGCACCGGCUAACUUCGUG
RNAcentral lists this ribosomal RNA (493 nucleotides) under uncultured bacterium. RNAcentral's name for it is "partial 16S ribosomal RNA". It matches the Rfam family "Bacterial small subunit ribosomal RNA", at positions 27 to 507 of the family's 1533-position model. The record is from RNAcentral.